CACACCGCCCGUCACACCAUGGGAGUCAGUUGCUCCAGAAGUGGAUUGCCUAACCGCAAGGAGGGCGUCCCCUAAGGAGUGACUGGUGACUGGGGUG
This 97-nucleotide ribosomal RNA is filed under the name uncultured bacterium. Its description in RNAcentral is "partial 16S ribosomal RNA". It matches the Rfam family "Bacterial small subunit ribosomal RNA", at positions 1386 to 1482 of the family's 1533-position model. The record is from RNAcentral.